Long non-coding RNA from Sycon ciliatum, 493 nucleotides. RefSeq lists it as uncharacterized. NCBI's taxonomy places the organism in Eukaryota, Metazoa, Porifera, Calcarea, Leucosolenida, Sycettidae. The transcript has 7 exons. The record is from RefSeq and is a predicted model, not a curated record.
AGUUUUGAAGGGUAAUCAACUUUUUCACCUACCUGCCGGGCUGUUCAACACCACAACCAAAUUACGAAACGUGAAUUUGUGGAAUAAUAAACUUGUUGACCUACCAGCCGGGCUGUUCAAUGUGACAACCGAAUUAGAAUACCUAGAUUUGGAGGACAAUCAACUUGUUUACCUACCUGACGGGCUGUUCAAAGCCACAACCAAAUUACAAUACCUAUACUUGACGUCUAAUCAACUUGUUCACCUACCUGAUGGGCUGUUCAAAGCCACAACCAAAUUAGAAGAACUGGUUUUGUGGGACAAUAAACUUGUUGACCUACCUGCCGGGCUGUUUGACGCGACAACCGAAUUGAGACACCUGGAUUUGGACGGUAAUCCACUUGUUCACCUACCUGACGGGCUGUUCAAAGCCACAACCAAAUUAAAAGAACUGCUUUUGCAAUAUAAUAAUCUCCGCUAUCUUCCCAGUGGACUGCCUCAUGACACACCUCAC